RNAcentral lists this unclassified non-coding RNA (395 nucleotides) under soil metagenome. RNAcentral's name for it is "partial contains 5.8S ribosomal RNA, internal transcribed spacer 2, and large subunit ribosomal RNA". The stretch from base 1 to 122 matches the Rfam family "5.8S ribosomal RNA", at positions 35 to 154 of the family's 154-position model. The record is from RNAcentral.
GAUGAAGAACGCAGUGAAAUGCGAUACUUGGUGUGAAUUGCAGAAUCCCGUGAACCAUCGAGUCUUUGAACGCAAGUUGCGCCCGAAGCCAUCAGGUUGAGGGCACGUCUGCCUGGGCGUCACAUAUCGUUGCCCAAUGCCUAUUGCAGUGCAAUAGGAAUUUCUAGGGCGAAUGAUGGCUUCCCGUGAGCGUUGUUGCCUCGCGGUUGGUUGAAAAUCGAGUCCUUGGUAGGGUGUGCCAUGGUAGAUGGUGGUCGAGUUAGAACGAUACCGAUCAUGUGCAUGCUCCCCAAAAUAUGGCCUCUAUGACCCACACGCGUCUUUUGACGCUCAUGACGAGACCUCAGGUCAGGCGGGGCUACCCACUGAAUUUAAGCAUAUCAAUAAGCGGAGGA